Molecule: long non-coding RNA, 218 nt
Filed under: Capsicum annuum
Lineage: Eukaryota; Viridiplantae; Streptophyta; Magnoliopsida; Solanales; Solanaceae
Description: long non-coding RNA (CANN_LNC005922)
Source: RNAcentral
GGGUAUUACAUUAUCUCCCCCUUGGGAUCAUUCAUCCCUGAAUGAUGGGUAGGAACGUUGAAGCUUAAAGGUAUGGAAUAACAUGGACAUGAUGUGUCUUUUAAGAAAGGAUAUAACUGAUCUGAAACAUUUAAACUUCUAUCAUGAAACUGAAUUUUGAGCUGACUUGCCCUUACUUGUUUUAAGGGGCUGAUUCAUGGUGAGAGUUUAGGAUUCCC